GUCCACGCAGUAAACGAUGGAUACCAUCUUUUGGCAAUUAUGCUGAGAGGACAAUCGAAAGAGAUAAGUAUCCCACCUGGGGAGUACGUGCGCAAGCAUGAAACUCAAAGGAAUUGACGGGGGCCCGCACAAGCGGUGGAGCAUGUGGUUUAAUUCGAUGAUACGCGAGGAACCUUACCAGGGUUUAAAUGGGUCCUGAAUAAUUUGGAAACAGAUUAGCCGCAAGGCAGGAUUCAAGGUGCUGCAUGGUUGUCGU
This 256-nucleotide ribosomal RNA is filed under the name uncultured bacterium. Its description in RNAcentral is "partial 16S ribosomal RNA". It matches the Rfam family "Bacterial small subunit ribosomal RNA", at positions 793 to 1055 of the family's 1533-position model. The record is from RNAcentral.